UUAUAACUCACAGAUCAUUAGUUUUCCUCCCAACUCCUUGUUUUCUGAGAAGAAUGACUGGACGGAUCACAUCUUUCGAGAUGGCAGAUGACAAAGCUUGAUGAAGUACAGACAACUCAGACUGUAGUCUUCGCUUUAAUCCCUCUUUUGGCUGGAUCGCCCUUUCGGGUUUUCAAUCCACCGGGAUACCCAUUUUUGCCUAAGCCGCCCUUGCGGGUUUUCGACUUACCGGGUGUACAAAUUCUUUUCAUUUUAUCCCUAAUUUUUGCCCGAACCUUUCCUUUCUGUUUUUUGGUUCGCCGGGAUGCCCUUUUUUUGCCUGGACUCUUUUUCUUUUUGUCCAGCGGGUCAAUUUAUGCGAAGUAUUUUUUGACUACAUCUGAGUUAACAGGAGACGGAAAAUC
This 404-nucleotide long non-coding RNA is filed under the name Lathyrus oleraceus (garden pea). RNAcentral describes it as "Pisum sativum (pea) long non-coding RNA (PSAT_LNC009556)". The record is from RNAcentral. Lineage: Eukaryota; Viridiplantae; Streptophyta; Magnoliopsida; Fabales; Fabaceae.